CAGCCGCCGCGGUAAUACGAAGGGGGCUAGCGUUACUCGGAAUUACUGGGCGUAAAGGGCGCGUAGGCGGCACGAUUAGUCAGGCGUGAAAUUCCUGGGCUCAACCUGGGGACUGCGCUUGAUACGGUCGAGCUAGAGGAUGGAAGAGGGUCGUGGAAUUCCCAGUGUAGAGGUGAAAUUCGUAGAUAUUGGGAAGAACACCGGUGGCGAAGGCGGCGACCUGGUCCUUGACUGACGCUGAGGCGCGAAAGCGUGGGGAGCAAACAGGAUUAGAUACCCGAGUAGUCCCUGUCUCUUAUAC
Molecule: ribosomal RNA, 301 nt
Filed under: uncultured bacterium
Lineage: Bacteria
Description: partial 16S ribosomal RNA
Rfam family: Bacterial small subunit ribosomal RNA
Source: RNAcentral